UACGUAGGGGCCUAGCGUUGUCCGGAAUUAUUGGGCGUAAAGAGCUCGUAGGCGGUUCGGCAAGUCGGAUGUGAAAUCUCCACGCUUAACGUGGAGGGGCCAUUCGAAACUGCUGUGACUGGAGUCCGGUAGGGGAGUGUGGAAUUCCCGGUGUAGCGGUGAAAUGCGCAGAUAUCGGGAGGAACACCAGUGGCGAAGGCGGGUCUCUGGACAGUUCCUGACACUGAGACACGAAGGCCAGGGGAGCAAACGGG
This 254-nucleotide ribosomal RNA is filed under the name uncultured bacterium. RNAcentral describes it as "partial 16S ribosomal RNA". It matches the Rfam family "Bacterial small subunit ribosomal RNA", at positions 524 to 776 of the family's 1533-position model. The record is from RNAcentral.